ACUCUAAGCGGUGGAUCACUUGGCUCAUGGGUCGAUGAAGAACGCAGCAAACUGUGCGUCAUCGUGUGAACUGCAGGACACAUGAACAUCGACAUUUUGAACGCAUAUCGCAGUCCAUGCUG
Molecule: ribosomal RNA, 122 nt
Filed under: Lucilia caesar
Lineage: Eukaryota; Metazoa; Arthropoda; Insecta; Diptera; Calliphoridae
Also listed under: 4 other names
Description: 5.8S ribosomal RNA
Rfam family: 5.8S ribosomal RNA
About the family: 5.8S ribosomal RNA (5.8S rRNA) is a component of the large subunit of the eukaryotic ribosome. It is transcribed by RNA polymerase I as part of the 45S precursor that also contains 18S and 28S rRNA.
Source: RNAcentral